This 3020-nucleotide ribosomal RNA is filed under the name Candidatus Aenigmatarchaeota archaeon. RNAcentral's name for it is "23S ribosomal RNA". It matches the Rfam family "Archaeal large subunit ribosomal RNA". Lineage: Archaea; Nanobdellati; Candidatus Aenigmatarchaeota. The record is from RNAcentral.
GGGUUGGUGGUGCUAAGCCCGCCGGGGGAUGCCUCGGCUCGGGAGCCGAAGAAGGGCGUGCCAAGCUGCGAUAAGCCCGGGGUAGGCGCAUGGAGCCUUUGAUCCCGGGAUCCCCGAAUGGGAAUCCUGCUAGGGAUUUAAGAUCCCUAGCACUCGGGCUUUAUGCUCGAGGGGGAACGGGGGGAAGUGAAGCAUCUCAGUACCCCCAGGAAAAGAAAUCAAUAGAGAUGCCGGGAGUAGGGGCGACCGAAACCGGCACAGGGCAAACCGAACUCUAUAGCGAUGAGCUAUAGGGGAUGUGGAGUUGUAGGACCCGGGUCUACCCUUCCUCCCAUAUCCGAAGUCCGCUAGAAUGCGGCGCCGUAGAGGGUGAUAGCCCCGUAGGAGAAAUGGGAGGGGGGUAAUGCCGGGUAUUCUGAGUACCACUGCGUGGUUUCGCAGUGGGAAGCUGGGGGGCAUUACCCUCCAACUCUAAAUACUCCCCGAGUCCGAUAGCGAACUAAGUAUCGUGAGAGAAAGGUGAAAAGAACUGCGUGAGCAGAGUGAAAAGAGCCUGAAACCGGCGGGCGACGGUUAGCCAUGGCCCAAAAGCUUACCUCCUCUAAAGAGCUAAAUACUCGAAGAGGGGGUAGCGGGGUCAUGGCGUCCGUGUUGAAAAACGGGCCAGGGAGUGUGGGGGAGUGGCGAGCUUAAGAGAAUUAAUCUCGAAAGCGUAGCGAAAGCGAUUUCCCGCAGCGCAUAUGCGCGAGGGGAAAGGUCUUAAAGGGCCUUAAGUCACUUCCCCACAACCGGAAGCCGGGCGAUCUAGGCCGGGGCAGGGUGAAGGGGGUUAAUAACCCCUGGAGGUCCGAAGGGGUGGUGAGAUGCCAGUCUCUCCUCUGACCCCGGUCUAGGGGUGAUAAGCCAAACGAGCCCGGGCAUAGCCGGUUCCCCCCGAAAUAGUCCACAGGCUAGCCUCCCUGGAGCAUUCCUGGCGUGUAGAGUUACUGAUUGAACGAUAAGGGCCGAAAGGCCUGGUCGUUCAGUCAAACUCCGAAGCACCAGGAUGCGAAGAAGGGGGGAGUUGGGGUGCUGGGGAAAGCUCGGCAUCCGAAAGGGGAACAACCCAGUCCCGGGUUAAGGUCCCAAAGUGGUCUCUAAGUGCCGAAGGGGUCAACCCCCUUAGACAGCGGGGCCGUAGGCCUAGAAGUAGCCAUCGGCUAAAAAGUGUGUAACAACUUACCCGCCGAGGGGGUUGGCCUUGAAAAUGGAAGGGACUAAGAGACUCACCGAGACCCGGGACCACCUAGCUGAGCUAGGUGGUGGUAGGGGGGCGUGCUAUGGGUUGAGAAGGGGGUGAGUGAUCAUCCCUGGAACCCAUAGCAAUGCAGAUCCUGGCAGCAGUAGCAGCUUAGUGGGGUGAAAAUCCCCACUCCCUUAGGGGCAAGGGUUUGCCGGCAAUGUUCGUCAGCCGGCAGUUAGCCGGUCCUAAGGGCAGGGCUAAUCUACCUGCCCGAAAGGGAAACCGGUUAAUAUUCCGGUGCCACCCCCAUACAUGCGGCAACGCAAGCCCUGUUGGUGACGCCUCGGGCUAGGCGGAGGUAACCCAAGCCUAUAAGCCCCCGAAGUCUCGUAAUGAGGAGAAGGGGGUGAAAUGGCGAUGGGCCUGGUGUAUGCCAGGUUCCGCCGAUGCCUGGGGCCUGUGAAAAGCCAACAGGGAAGGAUUGGGGGCGACCGUACCGAGAACCGACACAGGUGCCCUGGCUGAGAAGGCUAAGGGGGUGCGGGAUAACCCGCCCUAGGGAACUCGGCAAGUUGGCCCCGUAUGUUCGCUAGAAGGGGUGCCUGGACUCCUGAACUAUCGCUCAGCGAAAAGCUGGGUGAUAGCUAGGGAGCCCAGGUCGCAGUGACAAGGGGAGGGCGACUGUUUAACAAAAACAUAGGGGGCUGCAAGCCCGAAAGGGUGUGUACAGCCCCUGAGGUCUGCCCAGCGGGGGUGUGUGAAAGCCGGUUCCAACCGGCUGAAGCCACCCCCGAGCGGCGGCGGUAACCCUGACCGUCGUAAAGUACCGUAAUUCCUUGCCGCUUAAUUGGCGGCCAGGGAACGGCUUAACGACCCUCCCACUGUCCCAGGGCGGGACCCGGCGAAAAUACCAUCCUGGUGAAUAGGCUAGGGACCUCCAGCGGGAAGCGAAGACCCCGUGGAGCUUUACUGCAGCCUGGCGUUGCCCUCUGGGUAAGGAUACGUAGAGUAGGUGGGAGCAAUGAAGAUGUGGCUCCGGCUACAUCGGAUGCGAAAGUGAAACACCACCUAUCCUUACCUAGGGGGCUAACUCGGAUGAGGACAGCGCCAGGUGGGCAGUUCGGCUGGGGCGGCUCCCUUCGAAAAGAUAUCGGAGGGGCCCAAAGGUCAGCUCAGGCGGGUCAGAAAUCCGCCGUAGAGUGCAAGGGCAAAAGCUGGCCUGACUGGAUCCCGACAACAAGGGAUCCAGAGGCGAAAGCCGGGCCUAGCGAUACGCUGGUUGCCUGUAAUGGGCGCCAGCGGUAACGGAAAAGCUACCCCGGGGAUAAUGGGUCCGUGGCCGGCGAGAGUCCAUAUCGACCCGGCGCGUUGAUACGUAGAUGUCGGCUCCCCCCCUCCUGGGCGUGCAGAAGCGCCCAAGGGUACAGGUGCCCACUGGUUAAAGGGGGACGUUAGCUGGGUUCAGAACGUGGUGACACAGUUCGGCCGGUAUCUGCUGGGGGUGCAGGGGGCCUGACCGGAACGACCUCCUAGUACGAAAGGAACGGAGGUCGGGGGCCUCUGGUGUACCGGUUGUUAAUCGCAAGCCGGGCAGCUACGCCCCAGUGGAUAAGCCCUGAAAGCAUCUAAGGGCGAAGUCACCCGGGAAAACAGGCCCCCAAUCGUACUGCUGGGAGAAAUCCCGGCAGUACGACGAAGCCCCUCCUAGACGAGGAGGUUGAUGGGGUGGGGGUGUAAGCGUCGAGCUUUCGAGCGAGGCGCGAGCCCGCCACUCCCAAUAAGGCUAGGCCACCAACCC